GUGGGAUCUUUUGUAAAACUAUAAAAACUGAAGGAUUGAUUCAUUUCAAAAUUCAGCGUUAACAGAUCUUGAGACUUGACCAAAUCUCUCUCACUUUUGAACAGGUACCUAAUGUGUGAACGAUAUGCAGACUAUGGAGGCAGUUUCUACAUCUCUAAAUGAGGGAAUUGUCUCUAUCUAUAACAUCUGCAAGUCCCUCAAGGAAGCACAUAUCAAUCCCAUCACUGACACAUGCUCCAAUUACAACCAAAUUAGGAAAAAUAUUACGCAUGCUGAGCAGUGCUUGAAAACAUCUGAGAAAAUGAUUAAAGGAAAACUGGGAGAUCUGGAUGAAAGCAUGUGCCAACUUAUAAGAGAGAAACAAAAUGUUGAGCAACAGAAAAAAGAGAAAAAUCUGGCUUUGGAUCAAUUAUACAUAAAGAAGUCAUCUGCUGUGGAAUCAUUGAAGUAUUCCAAAGAGGCUUUGGAACAGGCUGAAAGAAGUGUAGAAUCAGCAAAUUAUGCCAUAAGAGUACAUCAAGACAGGAUGAACACAUCCAAUGAUGUUGCAACUGCAGGGGCGAUACUGUGUGCAAUACCAAUUUUUGGAUGGAUUGCUGGUCCAAUCAUGAUUAGUGAGGGAGAGCAGGGAUUUGAAGAAGCUCUAAAUUCCUUGAGAGCUGCCGAAUGGGAAAAACAAAACGCUGAGUCUCAAAUUGCAAAAUAUGUCUGCUGCCUUCAUGUGGCUGCAAGAGGGAACACAACCAUUUCACACAACCCAAUAGGUAAAGGAAGGAAAUUAAAAGUUAAAUACAGGUCAUACCAGUCUCUACACCUCAUGCACUUCUCCAUCUGA
Cyprinus carpio (common carp) is the source of this 835-nucleotide long non-coding RNA. Lineage: Eukaryota; Metazoa; Chordata; Actinopteri; Cypriniformes; Cyprinidae. The record is from Ensembl.